UCUGUUCCCAUGCGCUGGCUGUUGCCUCUGCUGCGGAGAGGCCGCGCACGCCCCUUUCUUCCUUAAACAUCUUUCCUUCCUUGCUCCUUUUCUCUCUCCCGCUCUCCAUUCUCACUGUCCGUCAUUCACUUGCUUCACCACACCAGGUUUUGCUUUCUCUCCGACUCGAUGUGUCUGCCUGUUGUUCUUCUCCGUCCGUGUGCAUGCCCGUUGUGAUGGCGUCCCUGCGUGCGGUCGGUGCUGCUGGUUGAGGUCAAUGCUCUGCUUCCUUCUGAUCGUGUUCGUUUUCCACAUUGCACCUUGCUUACCUUGGUGCUCUUCCUUUUCUAUGCUACAUGUGUAGCUGAAAUCCUCUCUGUGCUGUCUCCUGCGCUGGCCGGCGCGCCAUUUUGCCAUAUGCAUUUAGAUUGUUUGUCUGACAUUCCGCCUUCGUUUGCUCGCCGCUGUCCUGGUUAUUGUUCUUAAUCCUGGUUUGAAGACCUACUCUAUUUUUGCAUCUGCACCUGCGACUUCCCCCUUUUGUCAACUUUGCUUUUUCCACAAAGCGGCUAUAGUUAUGUGUUAUAGCAGCCCUGUUGUCAACCCCUUUCAUCAGUCGAACAUAGGAUAAACAACACCUAGAUGAAAGCUUAAUCCGUAUUCGAUCGACGAGAGUGGAGAGAAACUUCAUCA
This is a long non-coding RNA of Triticum aestivum (bread wheat), 672 nucleotides long. RefSeq lists it as uncharacterized. The transcript is spliced from 3 exons. Lineage: Eukaryota; Viridiplantae; Streptophyta; Magnoliopsida; Poales; Poaceae. The record is from RefSeq and is a predicted model, not a curated record.